This 1345-nucleotide ribosomal RNA is filed under the name uncultured bacterium. Its description in RNAcentral is "partial 16S ribosomal RNA". It matches the Rfam family "Bacterial small subunit ribosomal RNA", at positions 28 to 1381 of the family's 1533-position model. The record is from RNAcentral.
GACGAACGCUGGCGGCGUGCUUACACAUGCAAGUCGAACGGAAAGGCCCUGCUUUUGUGGGGUGCUCGAGUGGCGAACGGGUGAGUAACACGUGAGUAACCUGCCCUUGACUUUGGGAUAACUUCAGGAAACUGGGGCUAAUACCGGAUAGGAGCUCCUGCUGCAUGGUGGGGGUUGGAAAGUUUCGGCGGUUGGGGAUGGACUCGCGGCUUAUCAGCUUGUUGGUGGGGUAGUGGCUUACCAAGGCUUUGACGGGUAGCCGGCCUGAGAGGGUGACCGGCCACAUUGGGACUGAGAUACGGCCCAGACUCCUACGGGAGGCAGCAGUGGGGAAUAUUGCACAAUGGGCGGAAGCCUGAUGCAGCAACGCCGCGUGCGGGAUGACGGCCUUCGGGUUGUAAACCGCUUUCGCCUGUGACGAAGCGUGAGUGACGGUAAUGGGUAAAGAAGCACCGGCUAACUACGUGCCAGCAGCCGCGGUGAUACGUAGGGUGCGAGCGUUGUCCGGAUUUAUUGGGCGUAAAGGGCUCGUAGGUGGUUGAUCGCGUCGGAAGUGUAAUCUUGGGGCUUAACCCUGAGCGUGCUUUCGAUACGGGUUGACUUGAGGAAGGUAGGGGAGAAUGGAAUUCCUGGUGGAGCGGUGGAAUGCGCAGAUAUCAGGAGGAACACCAGUGGCGAAGGCGGUUCUUUGGGCCUUUCCUGACGCUGAGGAGCGAAAGCGUGGGGAGCGAACAGGCUUAGAUACCCUGGUAGUCCACGCUGUAAACGGUGGGUACUAGGUGUGGGGUCCAUUCCACGGGUUCCGUGCCGUAGCUAACGCUUUAAGUACCCCGCCUGGGGAGUACGGCCGCAAGGCUAAAACUCAAAGGAAUUGACGGGGCCCCGCACAAGCGGCGGAGCAUGCGGAUUAAUUCGAUGCAACGCGUAGAACCUUACCUGGGUUUGACAUGGAUCGGGAGUGCUCAGAGAUGGGUGUGCCUCUUUUGGGGUCGGUUCACAGGUGGUGCAUGCCUGUCGUCAGCUCGUGUCGUGAGAUGUUGGGUUAAGUCCCGCAACGAGCGCAACCCUUGUUCACUGUUGCCAGCACGUUAUGGUGGGGACUCAGUGGAGACCGCCGGGGUCAACUCGGAGGAAGGUGGGGAUGACGUCAAGUCAUCAUGCCCCUUAUGUCCAGGGCUUCACGCAUGCUACAAUGGCUGGUACAGAGAGUGGCGAGCCUGUGAGGGUGAGCGAAUCUCGGAAAGCCGGUCUCAGUUCGGAUUGGGGUCUGCAACUCGACCUCAUGAAGUCGGAGUCGCUAGUAAUCGCAGAUCAGCAACGCUGCGGUGAAUACGUUCCCGGGGCU